UUUGUACACCCUCCUUGUGUUACACAAAAACACAAAUAUACACACACACACACAGAGACACACAAGAGCAAAUUAUUUAUUACAAAGUCAAUAAGUCUAAAUUGCUAUAUUUUCCGCAGUUUUUGUUGUUUAAAUCUAGUUUUUGCUGAAAGCUUAAGUGAACUUAAAAUCUAAAAUUAAUAGGGACUAAUUUUAUCAUCAUAUUCUAGUUUCUUUUGCGCGGUACAGUCAGAAAUCAAUUGUUUCCUUAAAAUCAAAAAGUGCAAACUGCAGUUAACUGCGAGUAAGUGCUUGAAAUGGAAUCUUUAAAAUACCAAAAGAAAGGGAAGACAGGAUAGCGCCUCUUUCUCGCUCUUUGACUAAGUGUGUGUGUGUGUGUGUGUAUAUGUGUGUGGAGGAGAUGCUUCGUGGACACGUUGCAAUUGAGUAAUGUAUAUAUCAAUCAAUGUAUUUUAUUUUCUUUUGUUCUUUUGCAGUUAACUAAGAUGGCCAUCGGAUGGGUAAAAAGAAAACUUUAGAGUUUAAGUUUUAGAAAUCGGUUUAGGCGCGAUUAGAAUUGUGCCCAAACCGAUUUUCGAAACAAAAUUUCAAAUUAAAAAAAAAAAAAACUGUUAAACGUUAUACGAGUUUUAAACGAUCAAUCAGAAAAAAAUAUUUAUAUUAAAAUCGAUCGUUUGAAAGGCGUAUGUGUUCGACUCGGGUAGCUAGACGUUAUCCGCGCCGUAACACGAAAUAGAGCGGGAUAAAAAAAAAAAAAACAAUUUUAGAUGAACAAAACAAUAAAAAUAUAUAUAUA
Molecule: small RNA, 796 nt
Filed under: Drosophila mojavensis
Lineage: Eukaryota; Metazoa; Arthropoda; Insecta; Diptera; Drosophilidae
Description: GI26096
Source: RNAcentral